RNAcentral lists this ribosomal RNA (632 nucleotides) under uncultured bacterium. RNAcentral describes it as "bacterial SSU rRNA". The stretch from base 1 to 540 matches the Rfam family "Bacterial small subunit ribosomal RNA", at positions 338 to 873 of the family's 1533-position model. The record is from RNAcentral.
CCUACGGGAGGCAGCAGUGGGGAAUUUUGGACAAUGGGCGAAAGCCUGAUCCAGCAAUGCCGCGUGAGUGAAGAAGGCCUUCGGGUUGUAAAGCUCUUUUGUCAGGGAAGAAACGGUGUGGGCUAAUAUCCUGCACUAAUGACGGUACCUGAAGAAUAAGCACCGGCUAACUACGUGCCAGCAGCCGCGGUAAUACGUAGGGUGCAAGCGUUAAUCGGAAUUACUGGGCGUAAAGCGUGCGCAGGCGGUUUUGUAAGUCUGUCGUGAAAUCCCCGGGCUCAACCUGGGAAUUGCGAUGGAGACUGCAAGGCUAGAAUCUGGCAGAGGGGGGUAGAAUUCCACGUGUAGCAGUGAAAUGCGUAGAGAUGUGGAGGAACACCGAUGGCGAAGGCAGCCCCCUGGGUCAAGAUUGACGCUCAUGCACGAAAGCGUGGGGAGCAAACAGGAUUAGAUACCCUGGUAGUCCACGCCCUAAACGAUGUCUACUAGUUGUCGGUUUUAAUUACGUUGGUAACGCAGCUACGUCGUGAGUAGACCGCCGUCGGGAGGUACGGUCGGUCGAGAAGUUAAACGUUACGUAAGUUAGUUAAGUUAGACGGCGUUAGAGAGCGACGACGACGACGAGGAGGAGG